AUACGUAGGGGGCGAGCGUUGUCCGGAAUGACUGGGCGUAAAGGGCGUGUAGGCGGCCGAUUAAGUCUGGAGUGAAAGUCCUGCUUUCAAGGUGGGAAUUGCUUUGGAGACUGGUUGGCUUGAGUGCGGAAGAGGUAAGUGGAAUUCCCAGUGUAGCGGUGAAAUGCGUAGAGAUUGGGAGGAACACCAGUGGCGAAGGCGACUUACUGGGCCGUAACUGACGCUGAGGCGCGAAAGCGUGGGGAGCGAACAGGAUUAGAUACCCUGGUAGUCCACGCUGUAAACGAUGAAUGCUAGGUGUAGGGGGUAUCGGCCCCUCCUGUGCCGGAGUAAACGCAAUAAGCAUUCCGCCUGGGGAGUACGGCCGCAAGGUUGAAACUCAAAUGAAUUGACGGGG
RNAcentral lists this ribosomal RNA (397 nucleotides) under uncultured bacterium. RNAcentral describes it as "partial 16S ribosomal RNA". It matches the Rfam family "Bacterial small subunit ribosomal RNA", at positions 523 to 918 of the family's 1533-position model. The record is from RNAcentral.